GGAUUUUUAGUUGAUUAGUACGAGAUUUAGUAAAUAUUUUUUCAUUCUUUUAUUGUGAUGUAUUGCUCUUUAGGCAUUCGAAUUUUAAAUUUAGUUUUCAAAUCCAACAAGUAGAGAACUAAAUUUCUAAAGAGUGCAUACCAACAAGUAUUGAGCGGUGAUAAGACACAUUGCGUUUUAAAGAGAGAACUCAAGUUCAAACACGGAAG
RNAcentral lists this long non-coding RNA (209 nucleotides) under Gossypium raimondii (Peruvian cotton). RNAcentral's name for it is "long non-coding RNA (GRAI_LNC003428)". Lineage: Eukaryota; Viridiplantae; Streptophyta; Magnoliopsida; Malvales; Malvaceae. The record is from RNAcentral.